CGAAGCUGGAUUCGCUAGUAAUCGCGCAUCAGCCAUGGCGCGGUGAAUACGUUCCCGGGCCUUGUACACACCGCCCGUCAAGCCAUGAAAGCCGGGGGCGCCUGAAGUCCGUGACCGCGAGGGUCGGCCUAGGGUGAAACCGGUGAUUGGGGCUAAGUCGUAACAAGGUACC
Molecule: ribosomal RNA, 172 nt
Filed under: uncultured bacterium
Lineage: Bacteria
Description: partial 16S ribosomal RNA
Rfam family: Bacterial small subunit ribosomal RNA
Source: RNAcentral